Molecule: long non-coding RNA, 820 nt
Organism: Hipposideros armiger (great roundleaf bat)
Lineage: Eukaryota; Metazoa; Chordata; Mammalia; Chiroptera; Hipposideridae
Exons: 4
Source: RefSeq, a predicted model, not a curated record
GUUUACCCUUGAGUCAUGAUGGGAGUCUUUGCUUGAUCCUGGUUUCCUGUAGAAACUGGUGGACAAGUCACUUCCUCUCUCUGGGAUAGUGACUGGCCACCGACAUAAAACAUAUUCUCACCCCUGCUCAGUGAAGUGAGCAGAAUAUACUCAGGCUGGAGAGCAGUGGACAGGGUGAGGGGGACCCUGUGUGGACCGAGGACGAGGGGCAGAAUGAGUGUUUUGCGAGAAUCAGAAUGCACGGAAAACUCACUUUGGUCCGGGGCAAGUUUGUCCCAACACAACAGAGGAUGUGAAAUGGUUAACAAUCCAACCUAGGAGUGCUGCAGGCAGGGAGGAGAAUGUGUCAGAAGAAGCAAGCCAGCAAUGUUUUUGCAGAGGAUUUGGGGGGAACACAGAAGUUUCAGGCAGCGGUAUUCAGGGAGAGACAGAAGGCGGCAGUCACGUAGGAGAAAAAGCCACUCCCGAGGUGAUAAAUGACUGGCAAAUAGGCAUUCAACACAGCACUGAAAGAAAGGCAAGCACUCUUCUGUAACUACAAUAGAUGAAGACUCUUAAAAACCUGAAGCAAAGAGACAGCUAUUUUCUGAAAUGAGUAAUAAUGACAUUGAUAUCAGGAAGUAACCAUUCCAGCACAGAAUGGCAUAGAACAAGAACAGCCUGGGACGCAGAGGAUCGGCAGGACCUGGAUCAUGUGAGAAGAAAAUAAAUCCCCACAGGACCAGACAUGGGCAAUUCCUGUCACGUUUGACUAAGGCUUUUCACCGGUUCCCCCAAAGAGGGGAGGUGGGAUGUUAAUAUCAGAACCCCACUAUGUAUU